Non-coding RNA from Triticum urartu, 1058 nucleotides. NCBI's taxonomy places the organism in Eukaryota, Viridiplantae, Streptophyta, Magnoliopsida, Poales, Poaceae. The record is from RefSeq and is a predicted model, not a curated record.
CAAUCCGAGGCCUGGCCCAAAUAGCGCCUCCCCCAAAUCCACCUGCCCUAGCUUCCACCCCGACCACUUCCAUCGCCGGGCACCUUCUGCCGCGCCCAACCACCGUACGCCACCCCCAGCAACCCACCGUACUGCUAGAUCCCUCCCCGACUAUUGUCACCAGUCCAUCAGGCCGGGCACCGCUCGGGGGCCCACAGAUGCGAGAGGAGGCCGUCGUAGCAUCGGGCGGCAUUGACCAGAAGGAGGUGAAGGAAGGAAGAGAAGGAGGACGUCGAAGCAGCCCACACCGCGGAUCCAAUGCGGGGAUUCGGGAAGGAAGGACACAGUUGCGCGGCCCCCGGAUCUGGCGAAGGACAUGCGCGAGAGGCGGCCAACGGGGCAUGGGGAACAACUCCAGAUCCGGACGGCCCGAGCAGAGCAUGAAGCCAGGAAAGAGGGGCGGGUGUUUGGAUUUGUUGAGAUUGACGCACACACAAGCUUUUGCUGGCCGCCGCUGCCCUGCGAGCGGCACUGGGGUGAGCGACCUGGAACUAAAGGAUGCCCACUGUCUUGUACUCACAUCAGCAAACCCGUCUUCGUAUUUCCAUCACUGAAACCAGAUCAUGAUGUAUGAUGAAAUGGUAUCAAGGUUUUCCUUUUGAAAAAACACAUGUCAAAACUUUCCAUCAUGCCAAUCUCCAGUACUUACUUCCCAUGCCAAUCUCAAGUUUUGUGAUUCUAGAAGCCAUAUAGAGCCUUCAUUGCUUGAAUAACAGAAGUGUUUGAUACUCCCCACUAUUCUCAAUGUUUUCAUUGGUAGAAAUGCACAUUGGUGGCUGUACAGGUACUUAUGCAAGUGCAUGUGAACUAACUGAUAGAAAUAAGGUUUCUCCCGGUACCCAACCAAUUAGCCUUCGUACAUUCUCGUCAAAGGGCACAACCCACAUGUUUUCUUCAUCUGAUAGACCAACUAUUAUCUACAGUCGCAAUAAGUUGUUGUACAACAAUGUCAAUCUAAAAGAAGUUAAUCACAUGUGUCCUUUUAAUACAGCUGCUUUUCCUGACAGGUUUCUCUCUCU